UACGAAGGGGGCUAGCGUUGCUCGGAAUCAUUGGGCGUAAAGGGUGCGUAGGCGGGUCUUAAGUCAGGGGUGAAAUCCUGGAGCUCAACUCCAGAACUGCCUUUGAUACUGAGGAUCUUGAGUUCGGGAGAGGUGAGUGGAACUGCGAGUGUAGAGGUGAAAUUCGUAGAUAUUCGCAAGACACCAGUGGCGAAGGCGGCUCACUGGCCCGAUACUGACGCUGAGGCACGAAAGCGUGGGAGCAAACAGG
Molecule: ribosomal RNA, 250 nt
Filed under: uncultured bacterium
Lineage: Bacteria
Description: partial 16S ribosomal RNA
Rfam family: Bacterial small subunit ribosomal RNA
Source: RNAcentral